RNAcentral lists this ribosomal RNA (858 nucleotides) under Distoseptispora verrucosa. RNAcentral describes it as "Distoseptispora sp. JY-2021e partial large subunit ribosomal RNA". It matches the Rfam family "Eukaryotic large subunit ribosomal RNA", at positions 60 to 946 of the family's 3401-position model. The record is from RNAcentral. Lineage: Eukaryota; Fungi; Ascomycota; Sordariomycetes; Distoseptisporaceae.
AGAAACCAACAGGGAUUGCCCUAGUAACGGCGAGUGAAGCGGCAACAGCUCAGAUUUGAAAUCUGGCCCAUUAGGGUCCGAGUUGUAAUCUGUAGAGGAUGCUUUUGGCGAGGUGCCUUCUAAGUCCCCUAGAACGGGGCGCCACAGAGGGUGAGAGCCCCGUACAGUUGGACACCGAACCUUUGUAAAGCUCCUUCGACGAGUCGAGUAGUUUGGGAAUGCUGCUCAAAAUGGGAGGUAUAUUUCUUCUAAAGCUAAAUACCGGCCAGAGACCGAUAGCGCACAAGUAGAGUGAUCGAAAGAUGAAAAGCACUUUGAAAAGAGGGUUAAAUAGCACGUGAAAUUGUUGAAAGGGAAGCGCUUGUGACCAGACUUGUGCCCGGUGAAUCAUCCAGCGUUCUCGCUGGUGCACUUUGCCGGGCUCAGGCCAGCAUCGGUUCUCCCAGGGGGAUAAAGGUCUCGGGAACGUAGCUCUCUUCGGGGAGUGUUAUAGCCCGUGGCAUAAUACCUUUGGGGGGACCGAGGACCGCGCUCUGCAAGGAUGCUGGCGUAAUGGUCAUCAGCGACCCGUCUUGAAACACGGACCAAGGAGUCAAGCAUUAGGGCGAGUCUUUGGGUGUAAAACCCGCAGGCGCAAUGAAAGUGAACGGAGGUGAGAGCUUCGGCGCAUCAUCGACCGAUCCUGAUGUUCUCGGAUGGAUUUGAGUAAGAGCCUUACCGCUUGGACCCGAAAGAUGGUGAACUAUGCCUGAAUAGGGUGAAGCCAGAGGAAACUCUGGUGGAGGCUCGCAGCGGUUCUGACGUGCAAAUCGAUCGUCAAAUUUGGGCAUGGGGGCGAAAGACUAAUCGAACCAUCUA